AGGGACAAUGAUAAUAGUGUGUCAUGAAAAGAAUUAUCAUUAAUCCAAUUUUGUGUAUCUGAGGUCCAAU
RNAcentral lists this small nucleolar RNA (70 nucleotides) under Loxodonta africana (African savanna elephant). RNAcentral describes it as "Small nucleolar RNA SNORD112 (ENSLAFG00000033023.1)". The record is from RNAcentral. Lineage: Eukaryota; Metazoa; Chordata; Mammalia; Proboscidea; Elephantidae.